GCAAGUCGAGCGCAUUGAAGGGAGCUUGCUCCCGGAUGUGAGCGGCGGAUGGGUGAGUAACACGUGGGUAACCUGCCUGUCAGAUUGGGAUAACUAUGGGAAACCGUAGCUAAUACCGAAUGAUCCCCUGCACCACAUGGUGCAGGGUUGAAAGAUGGUUUCGGCCAUCACUGACAGAUGGGCCCGCGGUGCAUUAGUUAGUUGGCGGGGUAAUGGCCCACCAAGACUGCGAUGCAUAGCCGACCUGAGAGGGUGAUCGGCCACAUUGGGACUGAGACACGGCCCAAACUCCUACGGGAGGCAGCAGUAGGGAAUCUUCCACAAUGGGGGAAACCCUGAUGCAGCAACGCCGCGUGAGUGAUGAAGGCCUUCGGGUUGUAAAGCUCUGUCUUUGGGGACGAUAAUGACGGUACCCAAGGAGGAAGCCACGGCUAACUACGUGCCAGCAGCCGCGGUAAUACGUAGGUGGCAAGCGUUGUCCGGAUUUACUGGGCGUAAAGGGAGCGUAGGCGGACUUUUAAGUGGGAUGUGAAAUACUCGGGCUCAACCUGAGUGCUGCAUUCCAAACUGGAAGUCUAGAGUGCAGGAGGGGAAAGUGGAAUUCCUAGUGUAGCGGUGAAAUGCGUAGAUAUUAGGAAGAACACCGGUGGCGAAGGCGACUUUCUGGACUGUAACUGACGCUGAGGCUCGAAAGCGUGGGGAGCGAACAGGAUUAGAUACCCUGGUAGUCCACGCCGUAAACGAUGAAUACUAGGUGUAGGGGUUGUCAUGACCUCUGUGC
This 781-nucleotide ribosomal RNA is filed under the name uncultured microorganism. RNAcentral describes it as "bacterial SSU rRNA". It matches the Rfam family "Bacterial small subunit ribosomal RNA", at positions 57 to 846 of the family's 1533-position model. The record is from RNAcentral.